AUUGAACGCUGGCGGCAUGCUUUACACAUGCAAGUCGAACGGCAGCAUAGGUGCUUGCACCUGAUGGCGAGUGGCGAACGGGUGAGUAAUAUAUCGGAACGUAUCCAAUAAUGGGGGAUAACUAAUCGAAAGGUUGGCUAAUACCGCAUACGUCCUACGGGAGAAAGCUAGGGACCUUCGGUCCUGGCGUUAAUGGAGGGGCCGAUAUCGGAUUAGCUAGUUGGUGAGGUAAAGGCUCACCAAGGCGACGAUCCGUAGCUGGUCUGAGAGGACGACCAGCCACACUGGAACUGAGACACGGUCCAGACUCCUACGGGAGGCAGCAGUGGGGAAUUUUGGACAAUGGGCGAAAGCCUGAUCCAGCCAUUCCGCGUGAGUGAAGAAGGCCUUCGGGUUGUAAAGCUCUUUCGCAAGAGAAGAAAACUUACCCUCUAACAUAGGGUGAGGUUGACGGUAUCUUGAUAAGAAGCACCGGCUAACUACGUGCCAGCAGCCGCCGUAA
RNAcentral lists this ribosomal RNA (502 nucleotides) under uncultured bacterium. Its description in RNAcentral is "partial 16S ribosomal RNA". It matches the Rfam family "Bacterial small subunit ribosomal RNA", at positions 30 to 523 of the family's 1533-position model. The record is from RNAcentral.